GACAGAGGGUGCAAACGUUGCUCGGAAUCACUGGGCGUAAAGGGCGUGUAGGCGGGAAGGAAAGUCGGGCGUGAAAUCCCUGGGCUCAACCCCAGGAACUGCACUCGAAACUUCUUUUCUUGAGUGCCGGAGAGGAAAGCGGAAUUCCUGGUGUAGAGGUGAAAUUCGUAGAUAUCAGGAGGAACACCAGUGGCGAAGGCGGCUUUCUGGACGGGUAACUGACGCUGAGACGCGAAAGCGUGGGGAGCAAACAGG
Molecule: ribosomal RNA, 255 nt
Filed under: uncultured bacterium
Lineage: Bacteria
Description: partial 16S ribosomal RNA
Rfam family: Bacterial small subunit ribosomal RNA
Source: RNAcentral